RNAcentral lists this ribosomal RNA (303 nucleotides) under uncultured bacterium. RNAcentral's name for it is "partial 16S ribosomal RNA". It matches the Rfam family "Bacterial small subunit ribosomal RNA", at positions 507 to 807 of the family's 1533-position model. The record is from RNAcentral.
AGCAGUCGCCGCGGUAAUACAGAGGGUGCGAGCGUUAAUCGGAUUUACUGGGCGUAAAGCGUGCGUAGGCGGCUAAUUGAGUCGGAUGUGAAAUCCCCGAGCUUAACUUGGGAAUUGCAUUCGAUACUGGUUAGCUAGAGUGUGGGAGAGGAUGGUAGAAUUCCAGGUGUAGCGGUGAAAUGCGUAGAGAUCUGGAGGAAUACCGAUGGCGAAGGCAGCCAUCUGGCCUAACACUGACGCUGAGGUACGAAAGAAUGGGGAGCAAACAGGAUUAGAUACCCCCGUAGUCCCUGUCUCUUAUAC